Molecule: ribosomal RNA, 557 nt
Filed under: uncultured eukaryote
Lineage: Eukaryota
Description: bacterial LSU rRNA
Rfam family: Bacterial large subunit ribosomal RNA
Source: RNAcentral
GGAGCGUUUGCUCCAGCUGAGAAGCGGCCGUUGUGAGACGCCGUGGAGCGGAGCGAAGUGCGAAUGCCGGCAUGAGUAGCGUAAGGCGCGUGAGAACCGCGCCCGCCGUAUACCUGAGGUUUCCUACGGAAGGUCAAUCCGCGUAGGGUUAGUCGGGCCUAAGCCGAGGCCGAAAGGCGUAGGCGAUGGACAGCUGGUUAGUAUUCCAGCACCGCAGUGGUAGCGUUUGAUGCAGAGGGGGGACCCAGAAGGGUAGGUCUCGCGGGCCUAUUGGACAUGGUCCGUUCCUGGUCUGUAGGCGUCUCCGGGUAGGCAAAUCCGCCCGGGGGUUAAGCAGAGGGGCCGGGAGAAGUGGAGACUUGUCAAAGCGACGAGAUUGAGCCCACGCUGGCGAGAAAAGCCUCGCUGCUAGUUACCAUCGCGCCCGUACCGCAAACCGACACUGGUAGGUGGUGGUGAGAACCACAAGGCGAACGGGAGAACCCUCCUUAAGGAAUUCGGCAAAUUAGAUCCGUAACUUCGGGAGAAGGAUCGCCCCUGGAGGUGUACCGGUAUAA